RNAcentral lists this ribosomal RNA (497 nucleotides) under uncultured bacterium. RNAcentral describes it as "partial 16S ribosomal RNA". It matches the Rfam family "Bacterial small subunit ribosomal RNA", at positions 28 to 507 of the family's 1533-position model. The record is from RNAcentral.
GAUGAACGCUGGCGGCGUGCCUAAUACAUGCAAGUCGAGCGAACAGACGAGGAGCUUGCUCCUCUGACGUUAGCGGCGGACGGGUGAGUAACACGUGGAUAACCUACCUAUAAGACUGGGAUAACUUCGGGAAACCGGAGCUAAUACCGGAUAAUAUAUUGAACCGCAUGGUUCAAUAGUGAAAGACGGUUUUGCUGUCACUUAUAGAUGGAUCCGCGCCGCAUUAGCUAGUUGGUAAGGUAACGGCUUACCAAGGCAACGAUGCGUAGCCGACCUGAGAGGCUGAUCGGCCACACUGGAACUGAGACACGGUCCAGACUCCUACGGGAGGCAGCAGUAGGGAAUCUUCCGCAAUGGGCGAAAGCCUGACGGAGCAACGCCGCGUGAGUUAUGAAGGUCUUCGGAUCGUAAAACUCUGUUAUUAGGGAAGAACAAAUGUGUAAGUAACUAUGCACGUCUUGACGGUACCUAAUCAGAAAGCCACGGCUAACUACGUG